This 477-nucleotide ribosomal RNA is filed under the name uncultured anaerobic ammonium-oxidizing bacterium. RNAcentral describes it as "bacterial SSU rRNA". It matches the Rfam family "Bacterial small subunit ribosomal RNA", at positions 365 to 832 of the family's 1533-position model. The record is from RNAcentral.
UUCGCAAUGCCCGAAAGGGUGACGAAGCGACGCCGCGUGUGGGAAGAAGGCCUUCGGGUUGUAAACCACUGUCGGGAGUUAAGAAAUGUAAGGGUGUUAAUAGCGUCCUUACUUGACUAAGGCUCCGGAGGAAGCCACGGCUAACUCUGUGCCAGCAGCCGCGGUAAUACAGAGGCGGCAAGCGUUGUUCGGAAUUAUUGGGCGUAAAGAGCACGUAGGCGGCCUUGAAAGUCAGUUGUGAAAGCCUUCUGCUUAACGGAAGAACAGCAUCUGAUACUACAGGGCUUGAGUGCGGGAGGGGAGAGUGGAACUUCUGGUGGAGCGGUGAAAUGCGUAGAUAUCAGAAGGAACGCCGGCGGCGAAAGCGGCUCUCUGGCCCGUAACUGACGCUGAGUGUGCGAAAGCUAGGGGAUCAAACGGGAUUAGAUACCCCGGUAGUCCUAGCCGUAAACGAUGGGCACUAAGUAGAGGGGUUUU